AGAGGUUUUAAUAGCUGGGUUUACAAGAGGUUUUAAUAGCUGGGUUUACAAGAGGUUUUAAUAGCUGGGUUUACAAGAGGUUUUAAUGGCUGGGUUUACAAGAGGUUUUAAUGGCUGGGUUUACAAGAGGUUUUAAUGGCUGGGUUUACAAGAGGUUUUAAUGGCUGGGUUUACAAGAGGUUUUAAUGGCUGGGUUUACAAGAGGUUUUAAUAGCUGGGUUUACAAGAGGUUUUAAUGGCUGGGUUUACAAGAGGUUUUAAUGGCUGGGUUUACAAGAGGUUUUAAUGGCUGGGUUUACAAGAGGUUUUAAUGGCUGGGUUUACAAGAGGUUUUAAUGGCUGGGUUUACAAGAGGUUUUAAUGGCUGGGUUUGCAAGAGGUUUUAAUGGCUGGGUUUACAAGAGGUUUUAAUGGCUGGGUUUACAAGAGGUUUUAAUGGCUGGGUUUACAAGAGGUUUUAAUGGCUGGGUUUGCAAGAGGUUUUAAUGGCUGGGUUUGCAAGAGGUUUUAAUGUCUGGGUUUG
Eriocheir sinensis (Chinese mitten crab) is the source of this 523-nucleotide long non-coding RNA. RefSeq lists it as uncharacterized. The transcript is spliced from 4 exons. Lineage: Eukaryota; Metazoa; Arthropoda; Malacostraca; Decapoda; Varunidae. The record is from RefSeq and is a predicted model, not a curated record.